RNAcentral lists this transfer RNA (77 nucleotides) under Clostridiales bacterium. RNAcentral's name for it is "tRNA-Thr". It matches the Rfam family "tRNA". Rfam says of the family: Transfer RNA (tRNA) molecules are approximately 80 nucleotides in length. Lineage: Bacteria; Bacillati; Bacillota; Clostridia; Eubacteriales. The record is from RNAcentral. RNAcentral also lists the same sequence under 1 other name.
GCUGAUGUAGCUCAGCCGGUAGAGCGCAUCCUUGGUAAGGAUGAGGUUCACGAGUUCGAUUCUCGUCAUCAGCUCCA